AACACAUGCAAGUCGAGGGGUAACAGGGUAGCAAUACCGCUGACGACCGGCGCACGGGUGAGUAACGCGUAUGCAACCUGCCUAUAACUGGGGAAUAGCUCCCUGAAAGGGGAAUUAACACCGCAUAACACUAUUGAUUCGCAUGGAUUGGUAGUUAAAUGUAGCGAUACAGGUUAUAGAUGGGCAUGCGUGACAUUAGCUAGUUGGUGAGGUAACGGCUCACCAAGGCUACGAUGUCUAGGGGUUCUGAGAGGAAGGUCCCCCCACACUGGUACUGAGACACGGACCAGACUCCUACGGGAGGCAGCAGUGAGGAAUAUUGGUCAAUGGGCGCAAGCCUGAACCAGCCAUGUCGCGUGCAGGAAGAACCUGCCCUAUGGGUUGUAAACUGCUUUUAUAGUAGAAGAAACACAUCUACGCGUAGAUGUCUGCCAGUAUACUAUGAAUAAGCAUCGGCUAACUCCGUGCCAGCCGCCGC
RNAcentral lists this ribosomal RNA (478 nucleotides) under uncultured bacterium. Its description in RNAcentral is "bacterial SSU rRNA". It matches the Rfam family "Bacterial small subunit ribosomal RNA", at positions 50 to 518 of the family's 1533-position model. The record is from RNAcentral.